UUUCCGUAGGUGAACCUGCGGAGGGAUCAUUACAAGUGACCCCGGUCUAACCACCGGGAUGUUCAUAACUCUUUGUUGUCCGACUCUGUUGCCUCCGGGGCGACCCUGCCUUCGGGCGGGGGCUCCGGGUGGACACUUCAAACUCUUGCGUAACUUUGCAGUCUGAGUAAACUUAAUUAAUAAAUUAAAACUUUUAACAACGGAUCUCUUGGUUCUG
Molecule: unclassified non-coding RNA, 217 nt
Filed under: plant metagenome
Description: partial contains small subunit ribosomal RNA, internal transcribed spacer 1, and 5.8S ribosomal RNA
Source: RNAcentral